UACGUAGGGGGCUAGCGUUGUCCGGAUUUAUUGGGCGUAAAGAGCGUGUAGGCGGCCAGGUAGGUCUGCUGUGAAAACUCGAGGCUUAACCUCGAGAUGUCGGCGGAAACCAUCUGGCUAGAGUCCGGAAGAGGAGAGCGGAAUUCCUGGUGUAGCGGUGAAAUGCGCAGAUAUCGGGAGGAACACCAGUGGCGAAGGCGACUACCUGGCCUGUUCUUGACGCUGAGGCGCGAAAGCUAGGGGAGCAAACGGG
This 253-nucleotide ribosomal RNA is filed under the name uncultured bacterium. Its description in RNAcentral is "partial 16S ribosomal RNA". It matches the Rfam family "Bacterial small subunit ribosomal RNA", at positions 524 to 776 of the family's 1533-position model. The record is from RNAcentral.